AAUCUUACUUGGAAAGAGAGAUCCCACAAUCCUCUCAGCUGAUCAAGUGUAGUCACAGGGUGAGGCCUGUCCUUUGCAUUCCAGACAGGCUGACCCCUGUGAGCUUCCCCAAAUGCAGGCAACUCAACUGCACAGUUUUGUGGCAAUGGGAGACUGUAUUCACACUUUCCCU
This is a small nuclear RNA of Alligator sinensis (Chinese alligator), 172 nucleotides long. RefSeq annotates it as U1 spliceosomal RNA. NCBI's taxonomy places the organism in Eukaryota, Metazoa, Chordata, Crocodylia, Alligatoridae. The transcript has a single exon. The record is from RefSeq and is a predicted model, not a curated record.